AUACGGAGGGUGCAAGCGUUGUUCGGAUUUACUGGGCGUAAAGCGCGCGCAGGCGGAUUAGCAAGUCAGAUGUGAAAUCUCGGGGCUCAACCCCGAAACUGCGUCUGAAACUGCUAGUCUAGAGUCUCAGAGGGGGCAGGGGAAUUUCACGUGUAGGGGUAAAAUCCGUAGAGAUGUGAAGGAACACCAGUGGCGAAGGCGCCUGCCUGGAUGAGCACUGACGCUGAGGCGCGAAAGCGUGGGGAGCAAACAGGAUUAGAUACCCUGGUAGUCCACGCCGUAAACGAUGAGUACUAGUUAUUGGAGGUAUUGACCCCUUCAGUGACGAAGCUAACGCAUUAAGUACUCCGCCUGGGAAGUACGGUCGCAAGACUAAA
RNAcentral lists this ribosomal RNA (377 nucleotides) under uncultured Bacteriovoracaceae bacterium. RNAcentral's name for it is "bacterial SSU rRNA". It matches the Rfam family "Bacterial small subunit ribosomal RNA", at positions 523 to 898 of the family's 1533-position model. Lineage: Bacteria; Pseudomonadati; Bdellovibrionota; Bacteriovoracia; Bacteriovoracales; Bacteriovoracaceae. The record is from RNAcentral.